Molecule: ribosomal RNA, 507 nt
Filed under: Staphylococcus aureus
Lineage: Bacteria; Bacillati; Bacillota; Bacilli; Caryophanales; Staphylococcaceae
Description: partial 23S ribosomal RNA
Rfam family: Bacterial large subunit ribosomal RNA
Source: RNAcentral
CAGACCACCAGCUAAGGUCCCAAAAUAUAUGUUAAGUGGAAAAGGAUGUGGCGUUGCCCAGACAACUAGGAUGUUGGCUUAGAAGCAGCCAUCAUUUAAAGAGUGCGUAAUAGCUCACUAGUCGAGUGACACUGCGCCGAAAAUGUACCGGGGCUAAACAUAUUACCGAAGCUGUGGAUUGUCCUUUGGACAAUGGUAGGAGAGCGUUCUAAGGGCGUUGAAGCAUGAUCGUAAGGACAUGUGGAGCGCUUAGAAGUGAGAAUGCCGGUGUGAGUAGCGAAAGACGGGUGAGAAUCCCGUCCACCGAUUGACUAAGGUUUCCAGAGGAAGGCUCGUCCGCUCUGGGUUAGUCGGGUCCUAAGCUGAGGCCGACAGGCGUAGGCGAUGGAUAACAGGUUGAUAUUCCUGUACCACCUAUAAUCGUUUUAAUCGAUGGGGGGACGCAGUAGGAUAGGCGAAGCGUGCGAUUGGAUUGCACGUCUAAGCAGUAAGGCUGAGUAUUAGGCA